RNAcentral lists this ribosomal RNA (253 nucleotides) under uncultured bacterium. RNAcentral describes it as "partial 16S ribosomal RNA". It matches the Rfam family "Bacterial small subunit ribosomal RNA", at positions 524 to 776 of the family's 1533-position model. The record is from RNAcentral.
UACGUAGGGUGCAAGCGUUGUCCGGAAUUAUUGGGCGUAAAGAGCUCGUAGGCGGCUUGUUGAGUCGUCCGUGAAAACCCGUGGCUCAACUGCGGGCUUGCGGACGAUACGGGCAGGCUGGAGUUCGGUAGGGGAGACUGGAAUUCCUGGUGUAGCGGUGAAAUGCGCAGAUAUCAGGAGGAACACCGGUGGCGAAGGCGGGUCUCUGGGCCGAUACUGACGCUGAGGAGCGAAAGCGUGGGGAGCGAACAGG